This 107-nucleotide ribosomal RNA is filed under the name chicken gut metagenome. The record is from RNAcentral.
UGAUAUUACCGCAGAGGGUCCACCUGUUCCCAUUCCGAACACAGAAGUUAAGCUCUGCCGGGGCGAAGAUACUUGACUGGCGACGGUCCGGGAAAAUAGUUCAUUGC